UAGAGGAAGUAAAAGUCGUAACAAGGUUUCCGUAGGUGAACCUGCGGAAGGAUCAUUACCUAGAGUUUGUGGGCUUUGCCCGCUACCUCUUACCCAUGUCUUUUGAGUACUUACGUUUCCUCGGCGGGUCCGCCCGCCGAUUGGACAAAAUUAAACCCUUUGCAGUUGCAAUCAGCGUCUGAAAAACAUAAUAGUUACAACUUUCAACAACGGAUCUCUUGGUUCUGGCAUCGAUGAAGAACGCAGCGAAAUGCGAUAAGUAGUGUGAAUUGCAGAAUUCAGUGAAUCAUCGAAUCUUUGAACGCACAUUGCGCCCCUUGGUAUUCCAUGGGGCAUGCCUGUUCGAGCGUCAUUUGUACCUUCAAGCUUUGCUUGGUGUUGGGUGUUUGUCUCGCCUUUGCGUGUAGACUCGCCUCAAAACAAUUGGCAGCCGGCGUAUUGAUUUCGGAGCGCAGUACAUCUCGCGCUUUGCACUCAUAACGACGACGUCCAAAAGUACAUUUUUACACUCUUGACCUCGGAUCAGGUAGGGAUACCCGCUGAACUUAAGCAUA
This 554-nucleotide ribosomal RNA is filed under the name Ascomycota sp. UNEX FECRGA 2012E596. RNAcentral describes it as "eukaryotic LSU rRNA". The stretch from base 199 to 352 matches the Rfam family "5.8S ribosomal RNA". The record is from RNAcentral. Lineage: Eukaryota; Fungi; Ascomycota.